CCAAUAGCGUAUAUUAAAGUUGUUGCAGUUAAAAAGCUCGUAGUUGAAUUUCGGGGUUAGUAGGUUGGUCGUGCCUUUGGUAUGUACUGGUCUCACUGAUUCCUCCUUCUUGAAGAACUGUAAUGUCAUUAAUUUGGUGUUGCAGGGAAACAGGACUGUUACUUUGAAAAAAUUAGAGUGUUUAAAGCAGGCUAACGCCUGAAUACAUUAGCAUGGAAUAAUGAAAUAGGACGUUUGAUCCUAUUUUGUUGGUUUCUAGGAUUGACGUAAUGAUUAAUAGGGAUAGUUGGGGGCAUUAGUAUUCAAUUGUCAGAGGUGAAAUUCUUGGAUUUAUUGAAGACUAACUACUGCGAAAGCAUUUGCCAAGGAUGUUUUCAUUAAUCAAGAACGAAAGUUAGGGGAUCGAAGACGAUCAGAUACCGUCGUAGUCUUAACCAUAAACUAUGCCGACUAGGGAUCGGAUGAUGUUAAUUUUUUAAUGACUCAUUCGGCGCCUUACG
RNAcentral lists this ribosomal RNA (500 nucleotides) under uncultured Glomeromycotina. RNAcentral's name for it is "partial small subunit ribosomal RNA". It matches the Rfam family "Eukaryotic small subunit ribosomal RNA", at positions 591 to 1092 of the family's 1831-position model. Lineage: Eukaryota; Fungi; Glomeromycota. The record is from RNAcentral.